This 526-nucleotide unclassified non-coding RNA is filed under the name Hevea brasiliensis (rubber tree). The record is from RNAcentral. Lineage: Eukaryota; Viridiplantae; Streptophyta; Magnoliopsida; Malpighiales; Euphorbiaceae.
AACAGAUUCAAGCUCAAUAGCUUUUCUGUUAAUCUUACCUGUAGUUUCAACAUGAGGUCCCGCACAAAGAUCCCACCAUUCAUCACCAAUAUGAUAAAUGGUAAUUGGUUCCUCCUUUAUGCUCUCUAAAAUUUCGAUCUUGUAAGGUUCGUUGAUAGACAUUAUUCUUCUUUGAGCUUCAUCCCGGCUAACUUCUUCUCUAACAAGAGGCAAGUUUCGGCUGAUAAUUCGAUCCAUUUCCUUCUUAAUCCUCUUCAGGUCACUGUCAGUCAAAGGCUCCAUAUCAAAAUCAUAAUAAAAACCAUUAUCGAUCCAGGGCCCAAUUGUCACUUUUGCAUUCGGGUAGAGUUUUUGGACUGCCAUGGCCAUAACAUGAGCACACGUAUGGCGAAUUCGAAGUAGCCCAUCUGAUGACUCGUUAGUUGGGAGAACCAUUUUCUCAUUUGGGGCAGGAGCUUCUUGUAGGGCGGUGGAAGCAUGGGUAGAGAAAGAAGUGCGACGUCUCAGCAACUUGUUCCGGGUAGUU